GAGUAUUUGAAUUUGAACCUACCUGUGUGUGGGUUCAAACAAAUCUGACUUUGUGGUAACAAUGAAAAAAAAAUAGGAUUGGGUUUAAAGAUGAUGCUUUUAAAGAAAUUUAGAGGUAUCGACCCAAGCUGCUUUUAUUCAACUCUCUUAUUAUUUGACUGAAUUUUAUCAAGUAAUCCAAUUUUUUUGGAUUAAAAAAAGUUUUAAAA
Molecule: unclassified non-coding RNA, 209 nt
Filed under: uncultured Mucoromycotina
Lineage: Eukaryota; Fungi
Description: sequence contains ITS1
Source: RNAcentral